Molecule: ribosomal RNA, 253 nt
Filed under: uncultured bacterium
Lineage: Bacteria
Description: partial 16S ribosomal RNA
Rfam family: Bacterial small subunit ribosomal RNA
Source: RNAcentral
UACGAAGGUGGCUAGCGUUGUUCGGAAUUACUGGGCGUAAAGCGCACGUAGGCGGGUGGUUAAGUCAGGGGUGAAAUCCCGGAGCUCAACUCCGGAACUACCUUUGAUACUGGCCAUCUAGAGAUCGGAAGAGGUGAGUGGAAUUCCCAGUGUAGAGGUGAAAUUCGUAGAGAUUGGGAAGAACACCAGUGGCGAAGGCGGCUCACUGGUCCGAUACUGACGCUGAGGUGCGAAAGCGUGGUUAGCAAACAGG